Molecule: transfer RNA, 65 nt
Filed under: Goniodes ortygis
Lineage: Eukaryota; Metazoa; Arthropoda; Insecta; Psocodea; Philopteridae
Description: tRNA-His
Source: RNAcentral
GCACUUUUAGUUUAGUAAAAAAUUUUAGGAUGUGGACCUAAGGACAGGUGAAAACCUAAAGUGUA